AACGCUGGCGGCGUGCUUAACACAUGCAAGUCGAGCGAACAAAGCUCCUUCGGGAGUGGAGUUAGCGGCGGACGGGUGAGUAACACGUGGGUAACCUGCCUUAUAGAGGGGGAUAGCCUUCCGAAAGAAGAUUAAUACCGCAUAAGAAGUAGAAGUCGCAUGGCUUUAGCUUUAAAGGAGCAAUCCGCUAUAAGAUGGACCCGCGGCGCAUUAGCUAGUUGGUGAGGUAACGGGCUCACCAAGGCGACGAUGCGUAGCCGACCUGAGAGGGUGAUCGGCCACAUUGGAACUGAGACACGGUCCAGACUCCUACGGGAGGCAGCAGUGGGGAAUAUUGCACAAUGGGCGAAAGCCUGAUGCAGCAACGCCGCGUGGGUGAUGAAGGUUUUCGGAUCGUAAAGCCCUGUCUUUUGGGACGAUAAUGACGGUACCAAAGGAGGAAGCCACGGCUAACUACGUG
RNAcentral lists this ribosomal RNA (460 nucleotides) under uncultured bacterium. RNAcentral describes it as "bacterial SSU rRNA". It matches the Rfam family "Bacterial small subunit ribosomal RNA", at positions 32 to 507 of the family's 1533-position model. The record is from RNAcentral.